AGUGAACGUUGGCGGCGUGGAUUAGGCAUGCAGGUCGAGCGAGAACCGUAGCAAUACGGGGACAGCGGCGAAAGGGACAGUAAUGUGUAGGUACCUACCCCGAGGUCUGGGAUAGCUGCGGGAAACUGCAGGUAAUACCGGAUAAUGUCUUCGGACCAAAGGUGUGAUUCCACCUUGGGAGGGGCCUGCAUCCUAUUAGCUUGUUGGCGGGGUAACGGCCCACCAAGGCGACGAUGGGUAGCGGGUGUGAGAGCACGACCCGCGUCAUUGGGACUGAGACACUGCCCAGACACCUACGGGUGGCUGCAGUCGAGGAUCUUCGGCAAUGGGCGCAAGCCUGACCGGGCGACGCCGCGUGCGGGAUGAAGGCCUUAGGGUUGUAAACCGCUGUCGUAGAGGAGGAAAUGCAGGGGGGUUCUCCCUUCUGUUUGACCUAUUCUAGGAGGAAGGACGGGCUAAGUUCGUGCCAGCAGCCGCCGUAA
Molecule: ribosomal RNA, 482 nt
Filed under: uncultured bacterium
Lineage: Bacteria
Description: partial 16S ribosomal RNA
Rfam family: Bacterial small subunit ribosomal RNA
Source: RNAcentral